Cynocephalus volans (Philippine flying lemur) is the source of this 69-nucleotide small nucleolar RNA. RefSeq annotates it as small nucleolar RNA SNORD2. NCBI's taxonomy places the organism in Eukaryota, Metazoa, Chordata, Mammalia, Dermoptera, Cynocephalidae. The transcript has a single exon. The record is from RefSeq and is a predicted model, not a curated record.
AUGUGAAAUGAUGGUAACCGUCUUUCAGGAUUGACCUGAAAUGAAGAGCAUACCCAUUGCUGAUCACCU